This 253-nucleotide ribosomal RNA is filed under the name uncultured bacterium. RNAcentral describes it as "partial 16S ribosomal RNA". It matches the Rfam family "Bacterial small subunit ribosomal RNA", at positions 524 to 776 of the family's 1533-position model. The record is from RNAcentral.
UACGAAGGGGGCGAGCGUUGUUCGGAUUCACUGGGCGUAAAGGGCGCGCAGGCGGCUCAUUUUGUCAGGCGUGAAAGCCCCGGGCUUAACCUGGGAACUGCGUUUGAUACGGAUGGGCUAGAGUUCGGGAGAGGAGAGUGGAAUUCCCAGUGUAGAGGUGAAAUUCGUAGAUAUUGGGAAGAACACCGGUGGCGAAGGCGGCUCGCUGGACCGAUACUGACGCUGAGGCACGAAAGCGUGGGGAGCAAACAGG